This 482-nucleotide ribosomal RNA is filed under the name uncultured bacterium. RNAcentral describes it as "bacterial SSU rRNA". It matches the Rfam family "Bacterial small subunit ribosomal RNA", at positions 30 to 506 of the family's 1533-position model. The record is from RNAcentral.
UUGAACGCUGGCGGCAUGCUUUACACAUGCAAGUCGAACGGCAGCACGGGGGCAACCCUGGUGGCGAGUGGCGAACGGGUGAGUAAUAUAUCGGAACAUAUCCGUGAGUGGGGGAUAACGUAGCGAAAGUUACGCUAAUACCGCAUAUGCCCUGAGGGGGAAAGUGGGGGAUCGCAAGACCUCACGCUUUCGGAGUGGCCGAUAUCGGAUUAGCUAGUUGGUGGGGUAAAGGCCCACCAAGGCGACGAUCCGUAGCUGGUCUGAGAGGACGACCAGCCACACUGGGACUGAGACACGGCCCAGACUCCUACGGGAGGCAGCAGUGGGGAAUUUUGGACAAUGGGGGCAACCCUGAUCCAGCCAUGCCGCGUGAGUGAAGAAGGCCUUCGGGUUGUAAAGCUCUUUCAGCCGGAAAGAAAUCGCACUGGUUAAUACCUUGUGCGGAUGACGGUACCGGAAGAAGAAGCACCGACUAACUACGU